Molecule: ribosomal RNA, 253 nt
Filed under: uncultured bacterium
Lineage: Bacteria
Description: partial 16S ribosomal RNA
Rfam family: Bacterial small subunit ribosomal RNA
Source: RNAcentral
GACAGAGGUGCCGAGCGUUAUGCGGAAUCACUGGGCUUAAAGCGUGUGUAGGCGGACGGGUAAGUACCUUGUGAAAUCCCACGGCUCAACCGUGGAACUGCUGGGUAUACUGCCUGUCUUGAGUCAUCUAGGGGCGAGCGGAACAAAUGGUGGAGCGGUGAAAUGCGUAGAUAUCAUUUGGAACGCCAAUGGUGAAAACAGCUCGCUGGGGAUGUACUGACGCUGAGACACGAAAGCCAGGGGAGCAAACGGG